RNAcentral lists this ribosomal RNA (498 nucleotides) under uncultured bacterium. RNAcentral's name for it is "partial 16S ribosomal RNA". It matches the Rfam family "Bacterial small subunit ribosomal RNA", at positions 30 to 523 of the family's 1533-position model. The record is from RNAcentral.
AUUGAACGCUGGCGGCAUGCCUUACACAUGCAAGUCGAACGGUAACAGGUCUUCGGAUGCUGACGAGUGGCGAACGGGUGAGUAAUACAUCGGAACGUGCCUAGUAGUGGGGGAUAACUACUCGAAAGAGUGGCUAAUACCGCAUGAGAUCUACGGAUGAAAGCAGGGGAUCGCAAGACCUUGUGCUACUAGAGCGGCCGAUGGCAGAUUAGGUAGUUGGUGGGAUAACAGCUUACCAAGCCGACGAUCUGUAGCUGGUCUGAGAGGAGGAUCAGCCACACUAGGACUAGGAAACGGCCCAGACUCCUACGGGAGGCAGCAGUGGGGAAUUUUGGACAAUGGGCGCAAGCCUGAUCCAGCAAUGCCGCGUGCAGGAUGAAGGCCGUCGGGUUGUAAACUGCUUUUGUACGGAACGAAAAGCCCCGGGUUAAUACCCUGGGGUCAUGACGGUACCGUAAGAAUAAGCACCGGCUAACUACGUGCCAGCCGCCGCCGUAA